CGCCUCGUCCCCGCUCCGCCCCCUGCCCCCGAGCGGCGCGGGGGUAGAGACUGCUCGGGCCCGGCCCCUGCCGCUCCGCCACACGUGGGAGGGCCCGGCGUGCGUGUGCGCGGGUGAGGCACGGACAUGCGGGAGCGUCUGCACACUGACAUACAUGCCACUGACGGUGGGAGGAGUGUGAAUACCAGGGCCUAACCCUUCUAGCAGCAGUGGAGGUGAAGGUUCCCCAUCCAGAGGUAAAACAUACUCUGGCUUUAUGCUAAUUUUUUUUGCCUCAGAUUUCUUACCAUUGCCGCCCCACUUCAGCUCAGCAAGUAGCAGCAAUGUUGGAAGCUCUGGCCUCUCCACCAGCCGUUCUGCUGGCUGCUCAUCAGCCAUUUGUUGACCAGCUGACUGUCAGUUGCCUUCUGCUACCACCUGCCUCUCUUCUGUGACCUCAGCACAUAAGCGUCUUAGUAAUUUUCAGCUCUUUGCAGUAACCACCUCACACAAGAUCUGUCUACAGACUGACAUCUAGUGGAGAUAAAACAAUAUUCUGCAGAACUGAAUAAAAAAAAAAGUCUGAAUUUUACAGUUUUACAAACAUGGGAAUCACAGGGGAUUUAGUUGCAAUUUUCCCAGCUUACGUCUGGAUGAAAGAAAGGCCUGAAGCUGAAGGGGCUAUAUACACAAGUACUCCAAACUGUAGAGAGGCCCAGACUCUCAUCUGAAUAAAAUAAAAGCUCUGUUCCAGCAUGUGUACUAUCUAUAUCGCUAAUAUAUCAUUCAUUUACUAGUACUAGAAUAUGGUUUUUUACUAGACACAUUACACCACAUACUGAUCUGUGUACUUGCACACAAUCAUACAAUGUAUUUUAAACCUCGAAGGUACCAGAUACUUUCCUGUAAAUAUUCUACAAACAGUAACAAAUGACAUAUUAAAAUCUCUGUUAGGGAUGGUUGGGGCUACUUUUUUUAUUCAACUGAGGCUGUUGAUAUUCACUGAAUACAAAUACAAAUACUGAUUUCCAUCCUGGAGAGGGUGGAGAGGGGAGUGAGGUAAUGGGAAGAGAGUGUUGGCUAAAUGGUGACUUGAAGGCAGGAACAGGAAGGGGGAAUCAGGCACCACGGGAUGUGGCAAGAG
This is a long non-coding RNA of Trachemys scripta elegans, 1123 nucleotides long. RefSeq lists it as uncharacterized. Lineage: Eukaryota; Metazoa; Chordata; Testudines; Emydidae. The record is from RefSeq and is a predicted model, not a curated record. The transcript is spliced from 4 exons.